GCCAGGUAUGGUGGCACAUGCCUGUAAUCCCAGAGGCUUGGGAGGCUGAGGCAGGAGGAUCAUGAGUUCAAAGCCAGCUUCAGCAACAGUGAGGCGCUAAGCAACUCAGUAGGACCCUGCUUCUA
This 125-nucleotide small RNA is filed under the name Marmota monax (woodchuck). The record is from RNAcentral. Lineage: Eukaryota; Metazoa; Chordata; Mammalia; Rodentia; Sciuridae.